Molecule: ribosomal RNA, 459 nt
Filed under: uncultured bacterium
Lineage: Bacteria
Description: partial 16S ribosomal RNA
Rfam family: Bacterial small subunit ribosomal RNA
Source: RNAcentral
CCUACGGGUGGCAGCAGUGAGGAAUAUUGGUCAAUGGUCGGGAGACUGAACCAGCCAAGCCGCGUGAGGGAUGAAGGUACAGAGUAUCGUAAACCUCUUUUGUCAGGGAACAAAGGCGGGGACGUGUCCCCGGAUGAGUGUACCUGAAGAAAAAGCAUCGGCUAACUCCGUGCCCGCAGCCGCGGUAAUACGGAGGAUGCGAGCGUUAUCCGGAUUUAUUGGGUUAAAAGGGUGCGCAGGCGGUCUGUUAAGUCAGCGGUCAAAGCCCGGGGCUCAACCCCGGCCCGCCGUUGAAACUGGCAGUCGCGAGUUGGAGAGAAGUAUGCGGAAUGCGCGGUGUAGCGGUGAAAUGCAUAGAUAUCGCGCAGAACUCCGAUUGCGAAGGCAGCAUGUCGGCUCCACACUGACGCUGAGGCACGAAAGCGUGGGUAUCGAACAGGAUUAGAUACCCUUGUAGUC